This 89-nucleotide transfer RNA is filed under the name Candidatus Faecousia excrementigallinarum. RNAcentral describes it as "tRNA-Ser". It matches the Rfam family "tRNA". From Rfam's summary of the family: Transfer RNA (tRNA) molecules are approximately 80 nucleotides in length. Their secondary structure includes four short double-helical elements and three loops (D, anti-codon, and T loops). Further hydrogen bonds mediate the characteristic L-shaped molecular structure. tRNAs have two regions of fundamental functional importance: the anti-codon, which is responsible for specific mRNA codon recognition, and the 3' end, to which the tRNAs corresponding amino acid is attached (by aminoacyl-tRNA synthetases). tRNAs cope with the degeneracy of the genetic code in two manners: having more than one tRNA (with a specific anti-codon) for a particular amino acid; and 'wobble' base-pairing, i.e. permitting non-standard base-pairing at the 3rd anti-codon position. The record is from RNAcentral. Lineage: Bacteria; Bacillati; Bacillota; Clostridia; Eubacteriales; Oscillospiraceae.
GGAGAGUUGUCCGAGUGGUUUAAGGAGCCGGUCUUGAAAACCGGUGAUGCGGCAACGCACCGUGAGUUCGAAUCUCACACUCUCCGCCA